AUACGUAGGGGGCGAGCGUUGUCUGGAAUUACUGGGCGUAAAGGGUGCGUAGGCGGCUUAGUAAGUCAGGUGUGAAAGGCAUGGGCUCAACCCAUGUAAGCACUUGAAACUGCUUAGCUUGAGUUAAGGAGAGGGAAGCGGAAUUCCUGGUGUAGCGGUGAAAUGCGUAGAUAUCAGGAGGAACACCAGUGGCGAAGGCGGCUUCCUGGCCUUGGACUGACGCUGAGGCACGAAAGCGUGGGGAGCAAACAGGAUGAGAUACCCUGGUAGUCCACGCCGUAAACGAUGAGUGCUAGGUGUCGGGGGUGUAAGCCUUCGGUGCCGCAGUUAACACAUUUAGCACUCCGCCUGGGGAGUACGUGCGCAAGCAUGAA
RNAcentral lists this ribosomal RNA (374 nucleotides) under uncultured bacterium. RNAcentral describes it as "bacterial SSU rRNA". It matches the Rfam family "Bacterial small subunit ribosomal RNA", at positions 523 to 898 of the family's 1533-position model. The record is from RNAcentral.